GCUCCAGUAGCGUAUAUUAAAGUUGUUGCAGUUAAAAAGCUCGUAGUUGGAUGUUGGGGCGGGAUGGCUGGUCUGCCUGCGGGUGGAACUGGCGCAUGGCCGCCUUUGGCCUGUGGUGCGUUGGCGUGCUUGAGUGUGCGCUGGCGUGGCGCGGGCGGUUUACUUUGAGAAAAUCAGGGUGCUCCAAGCAGGCGGAAGCC
Molecule: ribosomal RNA, 200 nt
Filed under: uncultured eukaryote
Lineage: Eukaryota
Description: partial 18S ribosomal RNA
Rfam family: Eukaryotic small subunit ribosomal RNA
Source: RNAcentral